GAUCAAUAUUGAAAUCCUCCUUCAGUCUCAUUUUAGCUAGUAAAUUCACAGCAUCCAUGGGUCUUCCAUUCUGCACAUGGCCUGAUAUCAUAACUGUCCAACAAAUCAAGCUCUUCUCUACCAUCUGGUGAAACCCAUUCUCUAGAAGAACACA
Telopea speciosissima is the source of this 154-nucleotide long non-coding RNA. RefSeq lists it as uncharacterized. The transcript is spliced from 3 exons. Lineage: Eukaryota; Viridiplantae; Streptophyta; Magnoliopsida; Proteales; Proteaceae. The record is from RefSeq and is a predicted model, not a curated record.